RNAcentral lists this long non-coding RNA (3357 nucleotides) under Sus scrofa (pig). RNAcentral describes it as "lncRNA (ENSSSCG00015034912.1)". The record is from RNAcentral. Lineage: Eukaryota; Metazoa; Chordata; Mammalia; Artiodactyla; Suidae.
UGGCUGCACCCACAGCAUAUGGAGUUUCCCAGGCUAGGGGUCGAAUCAGAGCUGUAGAUGCUGGCCUAUACCACAGCCACAGCAACGCCAGAUCCAAGCCACAUCUGCAACCUACACUACAGCUCACAGCAAUGCCAGAUCCUUAACCCACUGAGCAAGGCCAGGGACCGAACCUGCAACCUCAUGGUUCCUAGUCACAUUCGUUAACCACUGAGCCACGAUGGGAACUCCCCACUAAAUUUCUUGUCCUGGGCAGUCCCACCCCCAUUUGUCCUCUGUCCCUGCUCCUUUUCUUCUCUUUUCCAUACCUUCUUCUUUCCCCAUUUCUUUUUCCCAAGGAGGAUGUCUUCUUUUUCUCCAGAAGUUUCUACUAUGUUUAAGAGGUGUCAGGAUGAAUGGAUCCCAUUCCUCAUUUGUUCCUACAUCUCUCUUGCUUCCAGAUGAAAGCUACUUUCUUCCAAGGUGAAGAAGUAAGUGAGACAAGGGAUGGGAAGAGUCUGAAGGGCUAACACGAAGGGCUUGAUUCCCCUGAACCAGACCCCUGUGUGCUAAGUUCUCUGAGCUGGGGUGGAGCUGGAAGAGAGGACAGUCAAAAUGUUGCCCUUCUCACCUUUGGGCCCAGAAGUGUGUAGGAAACUGGAUUCUUCAGAGCCCACUGGAUGAGUCUUGUGGUUCGAAGCCUAGAGCCCACCAGUCCCUACUUCUCAGGUGACCACUGACCCAUUCUCCAUCUCUGAGUCCUGGCAUCUCCAAGAUGGGACUACUGCUAAUUCCUACCUUGCAGACCUAGGGACAGGAUCAGGUGCAAUAUUGUGCCCAGAAACCCCCCCAUAAACUAUAAUAAAAGGUGGUUAUUAAUAUCCUAUCAAUAGCAUAGUUACUUAGACCAUGAUGGUUUCCAAAGGGAGAGCAUGAGCAAGGUAGAAUAGACUCGGAAUGGAUUAAAAAAAUCCUAAAUCUUGCACACUAAGAUCAUAUCAAUGCCAUACAUUAAAAAACUUAGGGUUUUGUGUUUUGUGGGUUUUUUUGUUUGUUUGUUUGUUUGGUUUUUUUUUUUUUUUAGGGUUGCAUCUGUGGCAUAUGGAGGUUCUCAGCCUCAGGGUUGAAUCGGAGCUGUAGUUGCUGGCCUACACCACAGCCACAGCAAUGCCAGAUCUGAGCUGAGUCUGUGACCACCACAAGCUCAUGGCAACGCCGGAUCCUUAACCCACUGAGUGAGGCCAGGGAUCAAACCCUUAUCCUCAUGUAUACUACUCAGAUUCGUUUCCCUCUGAACCACAAUGGGAACUCCAAAAAAAACACUUAGUUUUUAUUGGAGAUCAUUUUAAAUCCAUUUCUACUAAAAUGAGGUGACAUUAAGAGUCAGGGAAGAUGCAUCUCCCCUCCUCUUUGCCUACUUCGAGAGGGGAGGGCUCCCUCCUCCCUGCCAUCCCCACCUAGGCCAGGGCUGUUUAGGUAAAGUCCCUCCCCCACCUCCAGAACAGAUGCUAAGUGAGGACAAGGCAAGCCUCUGGUUACAUUUUUAAAAUAGUGUUGAGAGAGGGAGAGAAGCAGCCCCACCUGGCAGGAAGGGCAGGUUUUUCUGCCUCCCUCUCUGCCUGAGGUCUCAGCUGAGCCACACCCUGUCACCUUGUCACUCCAGAGGAGCUAUGGGCCCAGCUGCGCAUAUUAGAGGGCACUACACUGGCCCCGCAUGGCUUUUCCAUGAGAAUCUGUCCUUCCCACAGACUUUCCCUUUUCCUCAGGGACUUCUCCCCACAUAGAAAGAAACCCCUUCUCCUAGUUCAGUUCCUGUACCCAGGCCCUGGGUGGCCACAGUCACUUAGCCAGUUAUCAGCCAGAGGCAGGCAGUGCUGAGAGGAUGGCUCCGGAGGGACAAUGGACAGUGGAUCCAGGUUCUGGGCCUGGGUCACUUGAACAAGGCUGAGAUGUGGGGGCUUGGCACUCCCAGUGGGACGGCUUAGCUGUGCCGGCAUGCCCAAAGUCCCUUUCCUGAUCUUCUGUGCCCUAGAGGGAGUCCCAGGCCCUGGUAGGGAAAGCGGUCAGGGCCUCGGGUUUCCUCACAGUGGCAGCUGAAUCCAUGGUACCACCUUCUUCCACCCCCGCCCCCGACCCUGCCUCACCGUCAGCCCUGGUCAGCCGCUUCCUGGGGGCCAGCAUUGCCCCUCCACUGGGCAGUGGCUAUGUCUUGCUCUUGAAUUAUUCUCAGGUUUGCACAUCUUCAGCCUCCCUUGCUGGACCUCUCAGCCAGGCCCUUCCUAAUUAAUCUUUGCUGUCUCAUUGAUUAUUUGUCUUUUGAUGGAUUGAAUGACCAACCAGUCCCAAGAGAUCUGAGCUUAUCCUCAACCAUCUCUGGCCCAAGGGGCUCCCAGGAUAUCUGGAGUCCCAGCCUUCAUGAAAAGAAUGAUGGAGACAUACAUCAAAUGCUUCAGGGCCAUAAGUCUGAGCACUGGGGCACACGAGACCUUGGAAGCAUGCCUACCUGGGCAGACUCCCAGCUUCUCGACUCACCUGAUGGCCUUGGACAAAUCCAUUACCUUCUCUGAAUAUCAGCUUCCUCAUCUGUGAAAUGGGGAUGACAAUACCCACUUGGAGGGAUGCUUGAGAGUUAAGUGAACUUGAAGGCACAUACAGUGCACAGAAACCACCUAAAUAUCACCCAAAGUGUAUGUGCAGAUGGAGUCUGGCUUCUUGCAUGUGUUUUGGUUUUGACUUUGGGCACCUUUUUUUUUUUUUUUUUCAAUGCCCUUCCGUUGGGAUUGGGCCUGCAGGGCUAGGGCUGGAGGAGCACAAAGACCUUUCUCCUGUGUCACAGGCUCUUUCCCAACCCACCGACAACAGGAGUAGUGCCCUCAGCUGCAGUGGCAACAACACAGCUCACACUCUGACAUUUCCCCAGGGGUUUCUGUUGAUCCUCUUUCCCCCUGUGAGGAAGCCAGGACCAGAUUCUUAUCCCUCUCCUCCUUAAGGGGAGAUGGCCUUGGAGGAGAAAUGAAGCAACUCAGCAGUGGGGCAGCUGGAAGCUGGCCUUCAGUCCUAGCAGUUGUUUUUGCUCCCCAGCGGGGAGGGUCACUCACGCAGAGGGGCCCCCGCGCUGACGGGUGACUCCCCAUUAAAAGCUGUCUGAUUAGGUCAUGGGCUGGGAAGGGAGGGAACGGAUCUGGCUGGCACAAGGGGCUACUCAGUUGAGUCUGGCCUCUUGAACCAAAGUAACCGACCAGCUCUUGUGCCAGUGACGUCUCAGAAGCCACAGUGUUCAUGGAGGAAACGAACUCAAGUUAUUAUUACACCCAUUCCACCUAAUUGACUGAAUGUACUGAGUGUCUCAAAUACCGAGGGGACAAGAAGAUACCGGAG